Molecule: long non-coding RNA, 256 nt
Filed under: Homo sapiens (human)
Lineage: Eukaryota; Metazoa; Chordata; Mammalia; Primates; Hominidae
Description: non-protein coding lnc-CNTNAP5-2:2
Source: RNAcentral
UCUAAUUUUAUGCAUGUGGUAUUCUAUUUAAUUACAAGAAUUACAUUAAGAACAACUGCUAAUCAUCUGCUUCAGCUAAUUUCAAAGAAAAAAUGUCUAAUAGUACUUUUACAUUUUCUAAUUAGGACCCAGAAUCCGUAGCCAGCAUGAUGAGUUCAGAGACCUGGCCCCUACCCUGGGAGUAGCACAUUCAGUCAGAGAGGUUUAGGUGGAUUCAUCCAAAUACUUUAAUCCCAGAGCUCUGUCCUACAAAAAC